Molecule: unclassified non-coding RNA, 327 nt
Filed under: soil metagenome
Description: partial contains 5.8S ribosomal RNA, internal transcribed spacer 2, and large subunit ribosomal RNA
Rfam family: 5.8S ribosomal RNA (bases 1-120)
Source: RNAcentral
GAUGAAGAACGUAGCGAAAUGCGAUAAGUAAUGCGAAUUGCAGAAUUCAGUGAAUCAUCGAAUCUUUGAACGCACAUUGCGCCCCUUGGUAUUCCGGGGGGCAUGCCUGUUCGAGCGUCAUUAUAACCCCUCAAGCUCAGCUUGGUGUUGGGGCCUGCCGACUGGCAGCCCUUAAAAUCAGUGGCGGCGCCAUCUGGCUCUAAGCGUAGUAAUUUCUCUCGCUAUAGAGUCCCGGUGGAUGCUUGCCAGCAACCCCCAACUUUCUAUGGUUGACCUCGGAUCAGGUAGGGAUACCCGCUGAACUUAAGCAUAUCAAUAAGCGGAGGA